RNAcentral lists this transfer RNA (72 nucleotides) under Pseudomonas putida. Its description in RNAcentral is "tRNA-Lys". It matches the Rfam family "tRNA". Rfam says of the family: Transfer RNA (tRNA) molecules are approximately 80 nucleotides in length. Lineage: Bacteria; Pseudomonadati; Pseudomonadota; Gammaproteobacteria; Pseudomonadales; Pseudomonadaceae. The record is from RNAcentral.
GGAUUUUUCGGCCUAGAUCCCAAUUGUCUUUUAACCAAUUGGUCGUAGGUUCGAAUCCUACACGACCCACCA